AAAGCUUGUGUCACUGAAGGGGAUCAUAGAGGUUUGCCUCCGUGUAUCUGUCUCCUAGGGAGUAAUAGGCUGGAGAGGGGAAGACUGUCAAGCUGAAGACUAUCAAAUGGAUGGCACUCUGCUGUCCUGAGUCAACUUCCAUGAAACAAGUAUUCGGGACCUGUUCUCCCUUCCAGCUGGUAGACAGGGUGCACACAAGCUCAGCAUACAUGCCCUCAGACUGCUAGGGGUCAGAAUGAGUAUGUUGGUACCAGCCCAUGACUUUGUAAAGCUUCAACAUUCUCACCUUUCAUUGUUUUGUUUUUAGAUUUAUUUAUUGUGUAUACAGUGGCCUGCCUGUAUGUAUGCCUGCAGGCCCGAAGAGGGCACCAGAUCUCAUUUCAGAUGGUUGUGAGCCACCAUGUGGACCUGGGAAUUGAUCUUAGGACCUCUGGAAAAGCAGCCAGUGCAGUGCUCUUAACCUCUGAGCCAUCUCCCCAGCCCCAUUCUCAUCUUUUAAAAACCACCACUAGCCGGGCAUGGUGGCGCACGCCUUUAAUCCCAGCACUCGGGAGGCAGAGGCAGGCAGAUUUCUGAGUUCGAGGCCAGCCUGGUCUACAAAGUGAGUUCCAGGACAGCCAGGGCUAUACAGAGAAACCCUGUCUCAAAAAAAAAAAAAACAAACCAACCCAAAACAAAACAAAAACAACAACAACAAAAACCCACCACUAGUACUCUAACUUCCCAAAUGCAGCAGCAUUGGGACUGAGCCUGCUUCCCAGCCAUCCAUGGCCUCCCUGUUUGUAAUUCUGUGCAAAUCCAACUCUUGCUAUCAUUGUUUGGUUUUCAUGGAAGGAAUUCCCAUCUACAUGCAUAAAGACACUCAUCAGAAUGAGCAGAAGAAAUAGAGGACUAGGUAUAGGAAUCAGUGGUCAGGGCAAUACAUGGUCCAGGACCCAGGGUGAAGCAGCCCAGGUGGGAGGCAACUGAAAAAAAGAGGAGUACAGCAGACAAGAAUUGCAGCUUUCUAAAGAAAUGCAUGCUUCCAUUUCCAGCACUUGGGAAGCAUGCAGAUCUCUGUGAAUUUGAAGCCACCCUGAUCUGCUUAGUGAGUUCUAGACCUAUCAGGGCUACAUAGUAAGAUAUUGUCUCAAAGAAGAAGAGAAGGAGCAAGAGGAAAAGGAGGAGGAGGAAGAAGAGGAAAGGGGAAAAAGAAGAAGCAGCUUAAUAGCGCAAUGUUUGCAGAGAAGAGGAUCUGUUCAUACUAGUAAUGAACAAACGUUCUUUACUGCCUUCUUACUGAGUGAAGCUUGGCUAUAGAAAACAGUGGGGAAGGUGUUCUUUUCUGAGCCACACACAGCCUCAUCCAUCAGGCUCUCUCAUGAUCCCAUGGAGAAGCCUGAAUGGAAGGCAGGGGUGGGUAACUCACCAUGUCCUCUGCAAGGAUGGUUCCUGCCAUUGUUUCCCUUUAGUGGAUACUGAGAAGCUGGAUACGCAGAACACUUUGUUCACUAAUCCAGACUAUCCCCCACUUUGCAGUCUGGUAAAGAGACUCCUACUAUGAAGCAAAAUUCCUGCUCAAAACCUGUUUUGCCUUUACCCUGAGAUUCUUCAAGGCAAUCCACAUUGGAUCGCAUGCAUGCCGGGCCAGGGGUCCAGCUUAUCAGAUGCUGUCCCAGCAGGAAGGAGCUUUGGUUUGUUCUGAGACUGUAAAGACAUGGUUUCCAUUAAUUGUGCCCAGGAAACCGAAUGCUUCCCUUAGUCAUACUUGCCAUCCGUCUGGAGAAAGCAGGGGGGAGGCAGUAAUGCUUUUUUAUAAAAAAAAAACUGAGUGUGGAAACAUUUGUGGCAAAUUAAAAGAAUUUUCUUUAUAGAUUUAUGAUGGUUAAUAUUGACUGUGAACUUUUCUCUAGGGGUGUAGAAGCACCUAGAGAAAACCCUCUGGAUGAAUCUGUCAGAGUUUCCAGAUUGGAAGACCCACCCUAAAUGGAUGGUGCUAUUUCAGGGGCUGUCCUUCCUCAACUGAAUAAAAAAGAGACAGCAAGCUGAAUGAGUGUCAGCAUCCAUCCUCUCUCUUCCCAACUGGAGAGAAAGUGUGACCAACUGCCUCCGGCUCCUGACGCCAGGAUUUCCCCACCAUAAUGGACUGUACCCUCAAACUGUGAGCCAGAGUAAACCAUCACUUCCUUAAGUUGCUUCUGUGAAAAAGCCAUGAGAAAAAUAACUAAAUUGCAUACCCACAAAUGCAACCACUCUGGCCUGGCCUGACCUGACCUGAAGUCGCUAUGAAUCGAGAGAGAAACUCUCUCCUGGUCUUAUAGGUGCACCACCUCCAAACUUCCUCUCCAGAAAUGGGAACAAGCUUCCAAAUUUGCAAACUGUGCCUGCAGUGCCUUCCCUGCCCCACACACCACCCAGAUCUUUAGUGGAAUGUUUAAACAAGCACUGAUAACAGGUUCCCCAACAGCCCAAAUAAAGUUUUACAAGGGGAAC
Molecule: long non-coding RNA, 2472 nt
Filed under: Mus musculus (house mouse)
Lineage: Eukaryota; Metazoa; Chordata; Mammalia; Rodentia; Muridae
Description: long non-coding RNA chr17:15072524-15074996
Source: RNAcentral